RNAcentral lists this ribosomal RNA (357 nucleotides) under Triticum aestivum (bread wheat). RNAcentral describes it as "partial small subunit ribosomal RNA". Lineage: Eukaryota; Viridiplantae; Streptophyta; Magnoliopsida; Poales; Poaceae. The record is from RNAcentral.
AAUUCAGAACAUUUUUCAUUAAGUAAUUUAUAUGACUCAUUGAUCUUUCUUUCAUGGGCUUUGUAUAUUCUUCAUACCAUUCCUAAAAUACAAAACUCUAAAAAUGAUUUAAGCAAAAUAACUACGCCAAGUAUUAUUUUAACGCAAGGCUUUGCCACGGGGGUUUUAACUGAAAUGCACCAAUCCACGAUACUAGUACCUGCUCUACAAUCUCAGUGGUUAAUGAUGCAUGUCUGUAUGAUGUUAUUAAGCUACACAACUCUUUUAUGUGGAUCCUUAUUAUCUGCCGCUAUUCUAAUCAUUAGUUUUCACAAUAAUUUCCAUUUCUUUUCUAAUAAUAAUAAAUGCUCUAAAUAA